GGAGAAUGUUAUCACGGGAGACACACGGCGGGUGCUAACGUCCGUCGUGAAGAGGGAAACAACCCAGACCGCCAGCUAAGGUCCCAAAGUCAUGGUUAAGUGGGAAACGAUGUGGGAAGGCCCAGACAGCCAGGAUGUUGGCUUAGAAGCAGCCAUCAUUUAAAGAAAGCGUAAUAGCUCACUGGUCGAGUCGGCCUGCGCGGAAGAUGUAACGGGGCUAAACCAUGCACCGAAGCUGCGGCAGCGAACGUAUCACUUAAAGCGAUUCAGCGGGUUACGAUUGACGGAGCGAAGCGACGUCAAAGCGUAUACAAAGUCGAGUCGGUUUAAGGAUACGUUCGUUGGGUAGGGGAGCGUUCUGUAAGCCUGYGAAGGUGKSYYGUGAGGSWUGCUGGAGGUAUCAGAAGUGCGAAUGCUGACAUAAGUAACGAUAAAGCGGGUGAAAAGCCCGCUCGCCGGAAGACCAAGGGUUCCUGUCCAACGUUAAUCGGGGCAGGGUGAGUCGACCCCUAAGGCGAGGCCGAAAGGCGUAGUCGAUGGGAAACGGGUUAAUAUUCCCGUACUUGGUGUUACUGCGAAGGGGGGACGGAGAAGGCUAUGUUGGCCGGGCGACGGUUGUCCCGGUUUAAGCGUGUAGGGG
Molecule: ribosomal RNA, 640 nt
Filed under: Salmonella enterica subsp. enterica serovar Infantis
Lineage: Bacteria; Pseudomonadati; Pseudomonadota; Gammaproteobacteria; Enterobacterales; Enterobacteriaceae
Description: partial 23S ribosomal RNA
Source: RNAcentral